AGCUCUAAUAGCGUAUAUUAAAGUUGUUGCGGUUAAAAAGCUCGUAGUUGAAUCUCGGCCCGGUCUCAGCGGGUCCGGUCCGCCCACUGGGUGUGUACUGGCCUGCCCGGGUCAUACCUGCCGGCUGCUCGCCGUGUUCUUUACUGAAUGCGGAGUAUUGAGUUCCGGCAUUUUUACUUUGAGUAAAUUAGAGUGUUCAAAGCAGGCAAAAUUUCAGCCACUGAAUACAUUAGCAUGGGAUAAUGGAAUAGGACUUUGGUUCUAUUUUGUUGGUUUCUAGGACCGAAGUAAUGAUUAACAGGGACAGUUGGGGGCAUUCGUAUUUAAUUGUCAGAGGUGAAAUUCUUGGAUUUGUGAAAGACGAACUACUGCGAAAGCAUUUGCCAAGGAUGUUUUCAUU
RNAcentral lists this ribosomal RNA (400 nucleotides) under phytoplankton environmental sample. RNAcentral's name for it is "partial small subunit ribosomal RNA". It matches the Rfam family "Eukaryotic small subunit ribosomal RNA", at positions 587 to 974 of the family's 1831-position model. The record is from RNAcentral.